GGGCCCGUAGUCUAGACCGGCUAUGACGUCGCCUUGACGUGGCGAAGACCCCCGGUUCAAAUCCGGGCGGGCCCA
This 75-nucleotide transfer RNA is filed under the name Candidatus Altarchaeales archaeon IMC4. Its description in RNAcentral is "Candidatus Altiarchaeales archaeon IMC4 tRNA-Val". It matches the Rfam family "tRNA". Rfam says of the family: Transfer RNA (tRNA) molecules are approximately 80 nucleotides in length. Their secondary structure includes four short double-helical elements and three loops (D, anti-codon, and T loops). Further hydrogen bonds mediate the characteristic L-shaped molecular structure. tRNAs have two regions of fundamental functional importance: the anti-codon, which is responsible for specific mRNA codon recognition, and the 3' end, to which the tRNAs corresponding amino acid is attached (by aminoacyl-tRNA synthetases). tRNAs cope with the degeneracy of the genetic code in two manners: having more than one tRNA (with a specific anti-codon) for a particular amino acid; and 'wobble' base-pairing, i.e. permitting non-standard base-pairing at the 3rd anti-codon position. Lineage: Archaea; Nanobdellati; Candidatus Altarchaeota; Candidatus Altarchaeia; Candidatus Altarchaeales. The record is from RNAcentral.